GACGAACGCUGGCGGCGCGCUUAACACAUGCAAGUCGAACGGAAAGGCCUGCUUUCCCUUGUGGAUUGCGGGUACUCGAGUGGCGAACGGGUGAGUAACACGUGAGUGAUCUGCCCCCAACUUGGGUAUAAGCCUGGGAAACUGGGUCUAAUUCCCGAUAGGACUGCAGGGUGUGCCCGGUGGUGGAAAACAAUUUUCUGGUGGUUGGGGUUGAGCUCGCGGCCUAUCAGCUUGUUGGUGGGGUAUUGGCCUACCAAGGCGGCGACGGGUAGCCGGCCUGAGAGGGUGGACGGCCACAUUGGGACUGAGAUACGGCCCAGACUCCUACGGGAGGCAGCAGUGGGGAAUAUUGCACAAUGGGCGGAAGCCUGAUGCAGCGACGCCGCGUGGGGGAUGACGGCCUUCGGGUUGUAAACUCCUUUCGACCGCGAGGAAGCCACCUGGUUGGAAGGGUGGUGACGGUAGUGGUAGAAGAAGCACCGGCUAACUACGUG
Molecule: ribosomal RNA, 494 nt
Filed under: uncultured bacterium
Lineage: Bacteria
Description: partial 16S ribosomal RNA
Rfam family: Bacterial small subunit ribosomal RNA
Source: RNAcentral